This 447-nucleotide ribosomal RNA is filed under the name uncultured bacterium. Its description in RNAcentral is "bacterial SSU rRNA". It matches the Rfam family "Bacterial small subunit ribosomal RNA", at positions 331 to 794 of the family's 1533-position model. The record is from RNAcentral.
CCAGACUCCUACGGGAGGCAGCAGUGGGGAAUAUUGCACAAUGGGGGGAACCCUGAUGCAGCGACGCCGCGUGAGUGAAGAAGUAUUUCGGUAUGUAAAGCUCUGUCAGCAGGGAAGAAGAAAGACGGUACCUGACCAAGAAGCCCCGGCUAACUACGUGCCAGCAGCCGCGGUAAUACGUAGGGGGCAAGCGUUAUCCGGAUUUACUGGGUGUAAAGGGAGCGUAGACGGCAGCGCAAGUCUGGAGUGAAAUCCUAUGGCUUAACCAUGGAACUGCUUUGGAAACUGUGCAGCUGGAGUGCAGGAGAGGUAAGCGGAAUUCCUAGUGUAGCGGUGAAAUGCGUAGAUAUUAGGAGGAACACCAGUGGCGAAGGCGGCUUACUGGACUGUAACUGACGUUGAGGCUCGAAAGCGUGGGGAGCAAACAGGAUUAGAUACCCCCGUAAA